This 780-nucleotide ribosomal RNA is filed under the name uncultured Neocallimastigales. RNAcentral describes it as "partial large subunit ribosomal RNA". It matches the Rfam family "Eukaryotic large subunit ribosomal RNA", at positions 23 to 637 of the family's 3401-position model. Lineage: Eukaryota; Fungi; Neocallimastigomycota; Neocallimastigomycetes; Neocallimastigales. The record is from RNAcentral.
AGACUCUGUGCGCGUGCAUAUCAAUAAGCGGAGGAAAAGAAACUAACAAGGAUUCCCUUAGUAACGGCGAGUGAAGCGGGAAGAGCUCAAAUUUGAAAUCUUCAAGGGUUCUACCUUUACGAAUUGUAGUUUAUAGAAGUGUUUUCUGUUAGCGGAGUUGGCUAAAAGUUCUUUGGAAUAGGACAUCAUAGAGGGUGAGAAUCCCGUAUUUGACCGUUACUUUCCAGCUGUGUGAUACACUUUCAAAGAGUCGGAUUGUUUGGGAAUGCAGUCCAAGAUGGGUGGUAAAUUUCAUCUAAAGCUAAAUAUUGGCGAGAGACCGAUAGCGAACAAGUACCGUGAGGGAAAGAUGAAAAGAACUUUGAAAAGAGAGUUAAACAGUACGUGAAAUUGUCAAAAGGGAAGCGUUUGACACCAGUGUUGUUUAGUUCGAAAAUCAAUUCACUAAUUUUUGAUUUUAAGUAGUUAUGACUUCAUCAGCUUGCUGCUCUCUUUACGGAAACUUUCUUGAAUGCACUUUUCAGUUAACAAGUCAACAUCAAUUUCUUUUGUUGUAAAAGGGUACGAGGAAGGUGGCUUACGCUUCGGCGUAAGUGUUUAUAGCCUUUUACCUCUGCAAUCGGAGAGAUUGAGGAUAGCAGCGUAGACUCUUCGGGGUUAGAUACACUUGUGCUAAGCUAUAGCCUUGUAUAGACAACUUGUUGACUAUGCUCAGUCAUGUAGCUUACUCGCUUGUGCUAUUUUACCUACGCUUAGGAUGUUGACAGCAGUAUAGACUGU